CACCGGCUCCGCGCCCUGAGCGGCACAGCUAACCUGCCGGGCCGGAGCCUCGGGCGCGGUGCUCGCCACGCCUUUCUCCUCACAGGAACGUGGCAGCGGCGCCUGCCCGGGACGUCCAGGGGCACGGGGAAGAACAUGUGGCCAUGGAUCCAACUAGCCCAACAGCUUGCUUUCAGCAGCGAUUGCAAGUGGUCACCAGAGGAAGGGCAAGCUCAAGGAAAGCCUUCUCUCAGCUAUCCUGCCAGCCUCCAGCUGCUUUGAGUUUGGAACAUUUCCUCAGAGCAAUGUAAUUUCUGUGUACUUAGUAGCCUUCAAUGAAUUCCUAUUCCA
This 330-nucleotide long non-coding RNA is filed under the name Gallus gallus (chicken). The record is from RNAcentral. Lineage: Eukaryota; Metazoa; Chordata; Aves; Galliformes; Phasianidae.